RNAcentral lists this transfer RNA (70 nucleotides) under Notonecta amplifica. RNAcentral's name for it is "tRNA-Trp". The record is from RNAcentral. Lineage: Eukaryota; Metazoa; Arthropoda; Insecta; Hemiptera; Notonectidae.
AAAGCUUUAAGUUAAACAAACUAUUAACCUUCAAAGUUAAAAAUACAAGAAAUUAUCCUUGCAAGCUUUA